GACGAACGCUGGCGGCGUGCUUAACACAUGCAAGUCGAACGGAAAGGCCCUGCUUUUGUUGGGUGGACGAGUGGCGAACGGGUGAGUAACACGUGAGUAACCUGCCCCUUUCUUUGGGAUAACUCCCGGAAACUGGGGCUAAUACCGGAUAUUAGCUCUUGCUCCGUUGUGGUGGUUGGUAAAUGACGGCGGUGGGGGAUGGACUCGCGGCUUCUGAGCUGCUUGGUGGGGUAGGGGCUGACCAAGGCUUCGACGGGUAGCCGGCCUGGGAGGGGGGCCGGGGACAUGGGGACUGCGAUACGGCGCAGAAUCGAACGGGAGGCAGCGGUGGAGAGCAUGGCACAAUGAGGCGGAGCCUGAGGCGGAGGCGUCGCGUGCGGGAUGAUGGCUUUCGGGUUGUAAACAGCUUUCGCAGGUGAUGUGGCGGGAGUGACGGUAAUGGGUAAAGAAGCACCGGCUAACUACGUG
RNAcentral lists this ribosomal RNA (468 nucleotides) under uncultured bacterium. RNAcentral's name for it is "partial 16S ribosomal RNA". It matches the Rfam family "Bacterial small subunit ribosomal RNA", at positions 28 to 507 of the family's 1533-position model. The record is from RNAcentral.